UUGGGUACAAGUAUUCUUGUGCCUCAGCCUCCUGAGUAGCUGGGAUUACAGGCAUGCAUGACUAUGCCCAGCUAUUUUUUUUUCUUUUGUAUUUUUAGUAGAGACAGUGUUUCACCCUGUUGGUGUUGUAACUAAGAUAACCUUGACCAUCUUCAUCGGUGUCAUGCCAUCAAAUCUCCAAAGAUCUGUAAUGCAGGCUUCAGAUUCAGAAAACCCUAGAUUUGAUUCCAGUAUAUUUUACUUGGGCUGCUUUAACAAAAUACCACAACCUGCGUGGUUUAUAAAUAACAGACAUUUACUGCUCACAGUUCUAUAUAGGCUGGGAAGUCCAAGAUCAAGGUGCUAGCCAAUGCAGUUCCUGACAAGGGUGCUUUUCCUGGUUUGUAGAUGACUGCCUUCUCCCUGUGUUGUAGGGAAAGAGAGGAAGCAAGCUCUCUGGUGUCUCACAGGGGCACUAAUCCCAUCAUGAGGAAUUUAUCCUCAUGACAUCAUCUAAACCUGAUUACCCCCAUCUCUAAAUACCAUCACAUUGGGGAUUAGAACAUUAGCAUAUGAAUCUAUGGCUGGGCAUACAAACACUCAGUCCAUAACAACUCCUAACUCUACCGCUUACUAGCUGGGAGACCUUGGGUAAAUUACAUGAAUUACUUCAAUUUCCUCAAUCAUGUGAAGAAAAUAAUCCUGCCUAUGGGAGUAGUUAUGGAGAUUACGUGAUAUAAGGCAUGGAAACUAUUUAGCAUGGUUUUUCGAACAUACUAUUCAUGGUGAUUCUUGGAAUGACCUUCCUAUACCAUUUUAAACAGGUUGAUAAAUAAAUGCAAAACUAGAGGCCAAAGUAUCACCCUAUUUACUGAUAAAGGCCAGGUUGGAGAAUGUGGUUGCUAAUAAGCAAAUCCAGAGCUGAUCUUUAGUUAUGGCAGUAUUUAUGCAAAGCAACACUUACAGUGGAAUUCCUGAACCACAGAGGACAUGGAGGAGCAGAGAAGAAUUGGUGCUUCCUAAGGGGAAAGGAAGAGCUAAAUGGAAUGUUCUUAGUUACUCUAACCAAUUUUGUCAUUCAAAGAUCUCUCAACUACUCCAAGAACAAAGUGAAUAAAGGGAUGGAGAUAGGCCAGGGAUUAUGCUAAUUGAGCUCCCAUCCAAAGAAAUGAAUACUAGGGGUGGAGAAAUAUUCCCCACUAACAUGAUUUCACAUUAAUCCUAUUGUUACUGGAGUUUAAGUAGGAAAUUAAACAGUGUGCUGAAACAUCCAUGACUAAAAUGUCCCCAGUGUUACACAAAGCCCCAGAUCUUCCCUUGGUUAGCCGUUUUCUGUGAUGAAUGCUGCUCCCAUCGUAGCUUGCAAAAUCUUUGCCAAUAAUUAUUACACUGAUUGCUCAUCUUUGAAUUUUAUAGCUUAUGAAGCACUUUUCUGCUGAUGAUCUCAUUUGGUCUUUUCAUCAGCCCUGACAGGGAGGGACAGAGGAGAACAGGGUGGAGGGCGGGCGGGGAUGUUAUUCAUGUCAUUUUAUAUCCAAGGAUAUCGAGGACCAGAGCAGCUAUGUGAUGUGUAGAGGGCUGAACUGGAAAAAGAAUUACAAUAUAUCUAAUGGUAUAGUACCAAAUGAGAAAUGAAUAUAAUUGCUGUAAAGGGAAAAAGCAUUGUAGAUUUGGUAACUUCACUUUUGGUCUGUAUAUCUCUUUAGCAGAAAAAACUAAAAUAAGUUUCUUUUUGGCAUGGAGCCAUUAAUUAGAACUAUAUCAUUGUGUCACUAACCACAUUCAAACCCUUCUAUGGCAAAAUUAAGUUAAGGCUCAUUGAGAUAGGGGAAUUAUGUUGGAUUAUCUAGA
This 1830-nucleotide long non-coding RNA is filed under the name Pan troglodytes (chimpanzee). Its description in RNAcentral is "long non-coding RNA NONPTRT014307". The record is from RNAcentral. Lineage: Eukaryota; Metazoa; Chordata; Mammalia; Primates; Hominidae.